GCGGGGUCUAGCGGUAUGUAUCGGGGUGUAACGGAAACUGCCCGUUUCCAGGCAUUCUUGCCCUAGCAGGGACUUCCGCAGACCCCCGACUUCGGUCUACGAAACCGAAGGUCACAGGUUCGAAUCCUGUCGGGCGCG
This 138-nucleotide transfer RNA is filed under the name Thermoleophilia bacterium. RNAcentral's name for it is "tRNA-Arg". The stretch from base 72 to 138 matches the Rfam family "tRNA". The record is from RNAcentral. Lineage: Bacteria; Bacillati; Actinomycetota; Thermoleophilia.